GUGGGGAAUAUUGGACAAUGGGCGCAAGCCUGAUCCAGCAAUGCCGCGUGGGUGAAGAAGGUCUUCGGAUCGUAAAGCCCUUUCGACAGGGACGAUGAUGACGGUACCUGUAGAAGAAGCCCCGGCUAACUUCGUGCCAGCAGCCGCGGUAAUACGAAGGGGGCUAGCGUUACUCGGAAUUACUGGGCGUAAAGGGCGCGUAGGCGGCUCUGUUAGUCAGGCGUGAAAUUCCUGGGCUUAACCUGGGGACUGCGCUUGAUACUGCAGGGCUUGAGGCCGAGAGAGGGUGGUGGAAUUCCCAGUGUAGAGGUGAAAUUCGUAGAUAUUGGGAAGAACACCGGUGGCGAAGGCGACCACCUGGCUCGGUUCUGACGCUGAGGCGCGACAGCGUGGGGAGCAAACAGGAUUAGAAACCCUUGUAGUCC
Molecule: ribosomal RNA, 425 nt
Filed under: uncultured bacterium
Lineage: Bacteria
Description: partial 16S ribosomal RNA
Rfam family: Bacterial small subunit ribosomal RNA
Source: RNAcentral